AAGUAAUGAAUUGAGGAGGAAAUUGAAAAUUCAAGGGCAAAAAAGGUAUUGUGUCGGAUAAACGGGGAAACAUGAUUAUUGUUCAAAGUUGAGGGGGGUGUUUGAUUUUUAACACAAAGUUAGGAAGGGUAAAUGAUUUUCACCAAAUUCUAAAUGAUUCAUAUGAAGAAGUACAUAAAAGACCAAAACUGUCCUUAAACUAUUCACCCAAGUUUAAAAAUAUCCUCUGUCCACCUAUUUUGUAAAAAUUACUCUCGCCGUUUAAAAUCUGGCUCAUUCAUGCCCUUAACGUCAACUUUUCGGCCCACUCAUAACCUAAAAACUAACAACCCUAUUUUGAUUAAGAAAAAAAGUUUAUUAUUUAUUAUGUGUUAAUUUUCUCUUGGCUUAAAUUAAAAUCUCAUCCAUAUCCACUUAUUAGCCUACCCUGUCCUAGAUUUUCACCUUUCAACACCCACAGAUCUCCCUCUCCAUCUCUGAAUUUUCG
Molecule: long non-coding RNA, 487 nt
Filed under: Nicotiana benthamiana
Lineage: Eukaryota; Viridiplantae; Streptophyta; Magnoliopsida; Solanales; Solanaceae
Description: long non-coding RNA (NBEN_LNC022318)
Source: RNAcentral